This 261-nucleotide unclassified non-coding RNA is filed under the name Hevea brasiliensis (rubber tree). The record is from RNAcentral. Lineage: Eukaryota; Viridiplantae; Streptophyta; Magnoliopsida; Malpighiales; Euphorbiaceae.
AUUUUUAGCAUUCAUGAUCUCUAUCCUGUGUGGUACUGUUCUUAUUGAUAAACAGAGUUGCUUUUGAGUCUGUGAAGCAGUGUUUUUGAGCUCUGUGCGCUAGAUUUUGUGCUUUAAAGCUAUAGAAUUCUCUUCAUUUUGUGUUUCCUUCUAUCACUUCCCUCUGCAAUUUGCAGACCGUCAGAAUUUUCUUCAUUUGUAAAAAGCUGCAUUUUACGCAUUAAGUACCGCAUUUAAAAGAGUACAUCAUCAGAGAAUGCG